AGAGCGAACGCUGGCGGCAGGCUUAACACAUGCAAGUCGAGCGGGCGUAGCAAUACGUCAGCGGCAGACGGGUGAGUAACGCGUGGGAACGUACCUUUUGGUUCGGAACAACACAGGGAAACUUGUGCUAAUACCGGAUAAGCCCUUACGGGGGAAAGAUUUAUCGCCGAAAGAUCGGCCCGCGUCUGAUUAGCUAGUUGGUGAGGUAACGGCUCACCAAGGCGACGAUCAGUAGCUGGUCUGAGAGGAUGAUCAGCCACAUUGGGACUGAGACACGGCCCAAACUCCUACGGGAGGCAGCAGUGGGGAAUAUUGGACAAUGGGCGCAAGCCUGAUCCAGCCAUGCCGCGUGAGUGAUGAAGGCCCUAGGGUUGUAAAGCUCUUUUGUGCGGGAAGAUAAUGACGGUACCGCAAGAAUAAGCCCGGCUAACUUCGCGCCAGCAGCCGC
This 448-nucleotide ribosomal RNA is filed under the name uncultured bacterium. RNAcentral's name for it is "SSU rRNA". It matches the Rfam family "Bacterial small subunit ribosomal RNA", at positions 26 to 518 of the family's 1533-position model. The record is from RNAcentral.